Gossypium arboreum is the source of this 106-nucleotide non-coding RNA. Lineage: Eukaryota; Viridiplantae; Streptophyta; Magnoliopsida; Malvales; Malvaceae. The record is from Rfam.
AAACCAUGUAUCAGACAUUUCUAAUUAAUUCCUUGAAACGCUCCCAUGCUUCGUAUUAUGUCUCAUCUUCAAAUUUCCUGAACAAUGUAAUGUCAUACCUCAGCUU